CCUACGGGGGGCAGCAGUGGGGAAUCUUGCACAAUGGGCGCAAGCCUGAUGCAGCCAUGCCGCGUGUGUGAAGAAGGCCUUCGGGUUGUAAAGCACUUUCAGCGGGGAGGAAGGCGUUAAGGUUAAUAACCUUGUCGAUUGACGUUACCCGCAGAAGAAGCACCGGCUAACUCCGUGCCAGCAGCCGCGGUAAUACGGAGGGUGCAAGCGUUAAUCGGAAUUACUGGGCGUAAAGCGCACGCAGGCGGUCUGUCAAGUCGGAUGUGAAAUCCCCGGGCUCAACCUGGGAACUGCAUUCGAAACUGGCAGGCUAGAGUCUUGUAGAGGGGAGUAGAAUUCCAGGUGUAGCGGUGAAAUGCGUAGAGAUCUGGAGGAAUACCGGUGGCGAAGGCGGCCCCCUGGACAAAGACUGACGCUCAGGUGCGAAAGCGUGGGGAGCAAACAGGAUUAGAUACCCCUGUAGUC
This 465-nucleotide ribosomal RNA is filed under the name uncultured Klebsiella sp. RNAcentral describes it as "bacterial SSU rRNA". It matches the Rfam family "Bacterial small subunit ribosomal RNA", at positions 338 to 795 of the family's 1533-position model. Lineage: Bacteria; Pseudomonadati; Pseudomonadota; Gammaproteobacteria; Enterobacterales; Enterobacteriaceae. The record is from RNAcentral.